AAAAAAAGAGAGAGAGAGAGAGAGAGAGAGUCUAUGGAGUAAACUGUGCUAGAAGGUUGGAAGAAACAAAAGCUGCCUUGAGGACGUGAGAUGUACCAAAAAUUGCGAUCAGAUUUUGCAAGAGAGAGGCUUUAGCACACAGAAUGAAAGAAGAGGUCUUCAUGCGCUGGCAGAGAGGGAUGCAGAUUACACCUCUGAUCUCAAGGAUACUGUUUCACCUUUAUACACCUAGGUACCCUAAAACAUUCCGAAGAACACUGUUCCUUGAGAAGUGAGCAGAGAAAGAACAGCCUGAAAACAAAAAUCAAAUCAAAACAAAACAAAACAAAACAAAACAAAAAAAAACACCACAUGCUAACAGCAUUUCAGUGCAGACUUAAUUCUGUCAAUUGCAAAAGAGUAAAAUAUUUCCCCAGCUUCAUAUCCCCAUGUCCUGUUUCAGGAGUAUUUGGUUUGUGAUCACUUACAACAUGAAGGCCUCUCUGCUUUUCCUUGACUUCAAAAUUG
RNAcentral lists this long non-coding RNA (507 nucleotides) under Gallus gallus (chicken). Its description in RNAcentral is "long non-coding RNA NONGGAT004281". The record is from RNAcentral. Lineage: Eukaryota; Metazoa; Chordata; Aves; Galliformes; Phasianidae.